Molecule: ribosomal RNA, 432 nt
Filed under: uncultured bacterium
Lineage: Bacteria
Description: partial 16S ribosomal RNA
Rfam family: Bacterial small subunit ribosomal RNA
Source: RNAcentral
AACGAACGCUGGCGGCAUGCCUAACACAUGCAAGUCGAACGAGAACUUCGGGUCUGGUGGCGCACGGGUGCGUAAGGCGUGGGAACCUGCCCUUAGGUUCGGAAUAGCUCCCCGAAAGGGGUGCUAAUACCGGAUAAUGUCUUCGGACCAAAGAUUUAUCGACUGUGGAUGGGCCCGCGUUGGAUUAGCUAGUUGGUAGGGUAAAGCCUACUAAGGCGACGAUCCAUAGCUGGUCUGAGAGGAUGAUCAGCCACACUGGGACUGAGACACGGCCCAGACUCCUACGGGAGGCAGCAGUGGGGAAUAUUGGACUAUGGGCGAAAGCCUGAUCCAGCAAUGCCGCGUGAGUGAUGAAGGCCUUAGGGUUGUAAAGCUCUUUUACCCGGGAUGAUAAUGACAGUACCGGGAGAAUAAGCUCCGGCUAACUCCGUG